This 253-nucleotide ribosomal RNA is filed under the name uncultured bacterium. Its description in RNAcentral is "partial 16S ribosomal RNA". It matches the Rfam family "Bacterial small subunit ribosomal RNA", at positions 524 to 776 of the family's 1533-position model. The record is from RNAcentral.
UACGUAGGGUCCGAGCGUUGUCCGGAAUUAUUGGGCGUAAAGAGCGCGUAGGCGGCUUGUCACGUCGGGUGUGAAAGCCCGGGGCUUAACCCCGGGUCUGCAUUCGAUACGGGCAGGCUAGAGUGUGGUAGGGGAGAUCGGAAUUCCUGGUGUAGCGGUGAAAUGCGCAGAUAUCAGGAGGAACACCGGUGGCGAAGGCGGAUCUCUGGGCCAUUACUGACGCUGAGGAGCGAAAGCGUGGGGAGCGAACAGG